This 301-nucleotide ribosomal RNA is filed under the name uncultured bacterium. RNAcentral's name for it is "partial 16S ribosomal RNA". It matches the Rfam family "Bacterial small subunit ribosomal RNA", at positions 509 to 807 of the family's 1533-position model. The record is from RNAcentral.
CAGUCGCCGCGGGAAUACGAAGGGUGCAAGCGUUAAUCGGAAUUACUGGGCGUAAAGCGCGCGUAGGUGGUUUGGUAAGAUGGAUGUGAAAUCCCCGGGCUCAACCUGGGAACUGCAUCCAUAACUGCCUGACUAUAGUACGGUAGAGGGUGGUGGAAUUUCCUGUGUAGCGGUGAAAUGCGUAGAUAUAGGAAGGAACACCAGUGGCGAAGGCGACCACCUGGACUGAUACUGACACUGAGGUGCGAAAGCGUGGGGAGCAAACAGGAUUAGAUACCCGCGUAGUCCCUGUCUCUUAUAC